GGGCCGAUAGUCUAGCUGGUUAGGAUGUCGCCUUGACGUGGCGAAGAUCGCUGGUUCAAAUCCGGCUCGGCCCACCA
Molecule: transfer RNA, 77 nt
Filed under: Candidatus Bathyarchaeota archaeon
Lineage: Archaea; Thermoproteati; Candidatus Bathyarchaeota
Also listed under: 1 other name
Description: tRNA-Val
Rfam family: tRNA
About the family: Transfer RNA (tRNA) molecules are approximately 80 nucleotides in length. Their secondary structure includes four short double-helical elements and three loops (D, anti-codon, and T loops). Further hydrogen bonds mediate the characteristic L-shaped molecular structure. tRNAs have two regions of fundamental functional importance: the anti-codon, which is responsible for specific mRNA codon recognition, and the 3' end, to which the tRNAs corresponding amino acid is attached (by aminoacyl-tRNA synthetases). tRNAs cope with the degeneracy of the genetic code in two manners: having more than one tRNA (with a specific anti-codon) for a particular amino acid; and 'wobble' base-pairing, i.e. permitting non-standard base-pairing at the 3rd anti-codon position.
Source: RNAcentral